This 556-nucleotide ribosomal RNA is filed under the name uncultured fungus. RNAcentral describes it as "SSU rRNA". It matches the Rfam family "Eukaryotic small subunit ribosomal RNA", at positions 194 to 755 of the family's 1831-position model. Lineage: Eukaryota; Fungi. The record is from RNAcentral.
GGAAGGGGUGUAUUUAUUAGAUAAAAAACCAAUGCCCUUCGGGGCUUUUUGGUGAUUCAUGAUAACUUUACGGAUCGCAUAGCCUUGCGCUGGCGACGGUUCAUUCAAAUUUCUGCCCUAUCAACUUUCGAUGGUAAGGUAUUGGCUUACCAUGGUUUCAACGGGUAACGGGGAAUUAGGGUUCGAUUCCGGAGAGGGAGCCUGAGAAACGGCUACCACAUCCAAGGAAGGCAGCAGGCGCGCAAAUUACCCAACCCCGACACGGGGAGGUAGUGACAAUAAAUACUGAUACAGGGCUCUUUUGGGUCUUGUAAUUGGAAUGAGUACAAUUUAAACCUCUUAACGAGGAACAAUUGGAGGGCAAGUCUGGUGCCAGCAGCCGCGGUAAUUCCAGCUCCAAUAGCGUAUAUUAAAGUUGUUGCAGUUAAAAAGCUCGUAGUUGAAACUUGGGCCUGGCUGGCGGGUCCGCCUCACCGCGUGCACUCGUCCGGCCGGGCCUUCCUUCUGAAGAACCUCAUGCCCUUCACUGGGCGUGCUGGGGAACCAGGACUUUUAC